AGUGUUUUGGGGACCUGGAUUUUGGGGUCCCUCACCCUGAAACCUCAAAACCUUCCUGGUGCCGACCCCCAGCUCUUCCUUCUCAUUCCAGUGGGGCAUUUUGGGGACCUGGAUUUUGGGGGGUGGGGACACCAACUCCGCCCCAUCCUCACCCUGAAACCCCAAAACCCCUGAACCCCAAAACCCCCAAAUCCCCAGCUCCUCGUUAUCAUUCCAGUGGCGUCUUGGGAGCCUGGAUUUUGGGGUCUUUCACCCUGAAACCCCAAAACCUUCCUGGUGCCGAUCCCCAGCUCCUCCUCCUCAUUCCAAUGGCCUUUGGGGACCUGAAUUUUGAGGGAUGGCGACAUCAACUCAGUCCCAACCUCACCUCACAGCCCUAAAACCCCCAAACCCCAAAAUCCCUGAAACCCAAAAUCCCCAAACCCCAAAAUCCCCAAACCCCCAGCUCCUCCUUCUCAUUCCAGUGGUGUUUGGGCACCUGGAUUUUCGGGCAUGGGGACAUCAACUCCGCCCCAUCCUCACUCUCAAACCCCAAAACCCCUGAACCCCAAACCCCCAAACCCCCUUUCCUCCCCUUUACUCCCAGGGGCAUUUUGGGGACCUGGAUUUUGGGGUCCCUCGCUCUGAAACCCCAAAACCUUCCCGGUGCUGACCCCCAGCUCCCCCCGUCACUCCCAGUAGAGUUUUGGGGACCUGGAUUUUGGGGGGCAGCCCAAAUUUUGCCAGAGUCCGGCAGAAUUCCCAGCCCCAGCGGGCAGCGAUGCCCUCUGGACCCUCAUGAAGGUCUCACCAUCAUCACCCUGCUGAAAAACCCCCAAAAUUCCCAAUUUUCCACCCAUUUCCCGUGGCCAGGAGCUCAGGUCGUUCCCUGGGCACCGAUCCGUGGCGCUGCUGGGAUCCCAGCACUUAAUCCCAAAUCCAUGGAGCAAAUUCCAUCCUGUUCCUCCUCCUCCUCCUCUCCAGCCCUUUGUGCAGAUAAACGGAGCCUGGCCAUGGAUCCAAACUCGGCUCUGGAAUUUUCCAAUCCGGCUGGCUCUGAGAAGAGCAGCUCCUUGACGGAGAAUUCUGCUCCUGGAACACCCCCGGAGCCGCUCGGAGGGGAAAAAAUGGGAAAAAUGGAAAAAGAAAUAAAUUUGGUUGUUUGGAGAUGGAAUAAAAGUGAGAAAAGCCCGGCUAGGAGGAGGAGGAGGAGGAAGAAGGGUCAGGGAAUUUUCCUCCAGAUGUUCUCAUUCCCCCAGCCCAGAGAGCUUUUCCCAUUUUUCCGCCACUUCCCGUUGAUCUGGGCUUGGCCUGAUGGGAAUGGGUGGGCAGNNNNNNNNNNNNNNNNNNN
Molecule: long non-coding RNA, 1330 nt
Filed under: Parus major (Great Tit)
Lineage: Eukaryota; Metazoa; Chordata; Aves; Passeriformes; Paridae
Description: lncRNA (ENSPMJG00000007586.1)
Source: RNAcentral